GUGUCAGCAGCCGCGGUAAUACGGAGGGAGCAAGCGUUACUCGGAAUUAUUGGGCGUAAAGGGCGCGUAGGCGAUUUGAAAAGUCUUGUGUGAAAGCCCCGGGCUUAACCCGGGAAGUGCACAAGAAACUGUUGAAUUUGAGUUCCGGAGAGGAAGGCAGAAUUCCCGGUGUAGCGGUGAAAUGCGUAGAUAUCGGGAGGAAUACCAGUGGCGAAGGCGGCCUUCUGGACGGAUACUGACGCUGAGGCGCGAAAGCCAGGGGAGCAAACGGGAUUAGAUACCCCAGUAGUCC
This 292-nucleotide ribosomal RNA is filed under the name uncultured bacterium. Its description in RNAcentral is "partial 16S ribosomal RNA". It matches the Rfam family "Bacterial small subunit ribosomal RNA", at positions 505 to 796 of the family's 1533-position model. The record is from RNAcentral.